RNAcentral lists this long non-coding RNA (236 nucleotides) under Durio zibethinus. Its description in RNAcentral is "long non-coding RNA (DZIB_LNC001742)". The record is from RNAcentral. Lineage: Eukaryota; Viridiplantae; Streptophyta; Magnoliopsida; Malvales; Malvaceae.
ACAAUUUGAGGUGAGCCUUCGAGUUGGUACCCUUACUGUUGGAUUUGCUAUUGAGAAGCUAGACAGAGUAUGCUCCAAGUACUUUGCUAAAAUAUUUGAAAGGCUUAGGACCUUUUUUCCUACUUAUAGGUCUUGUGUAUAGGCUACCACCAACCUACCCAAGUUUGCCAAGGAUAGGGUUUAAAGGUUUUCUUUACUUAGCAACCUACAAAAUGAGUUUUUCUAAGGUGUUGAGG